GACGAACGCUGGCGGCGUGCUUAACACAUGCAAGUCGAACGGAAAGGCUCCAGCUUGCUGGAGUGCUCGAGUGGCGAACGGGUGAGUAACACGUGGGCAAUCUGCCCUGCACUCUGGGAUAAGCCUGGGAAACUGGGUCUAAUACCGGAUAGGACCUUUCUCCUCAUGGGGUUUGGUGGAAAGUUUUGCGGUGCAGGAUGAGCCCGCGGCCUAUCAGCUUGUUGGUGGGGUAAUGGCCUACCAAGGCGACGACGGGUAGCCGGCCUGAGAGGGUGAUCGGCCACAUUGGGCCUGAGAUACGGCCCAGACUCCUACGGGAGGCAGCAGUGGGGAAUAUUGCACAAUGGGCGAAAGCCUGAUGCAGCGACGCCGCGUGAGGGAUGACGGCCUUCGGGUUGUAAACCUCUUUCAGUAGGGACGAAGCGCAAGUGACGGUACCUGCAGAAGAAGCACCGGCUAACUACGUG
Molecule: ribosomal RNA, 467 nt
Filed under: uncultured bacterium
Lineage: Bacteria
Description: partial 16S ribosomal RNA
Rfam family: Bacterial small subunit ribosomal RNA
Source: RNAcentral